Molecule: long non-coding RNA, 3500 nt
Organism: Anolis carolinensis (green anole)
Lineage: Eukaryota; Metazoa; Chordata; Lepidosauria; Squamata; Anolidae
Exons: 2
Source: RefSeq, a predicted model, not a curated record
UUUGGGUGAAAAAUUCGGAAAUACUUUCUAUAUCGAAGCGCCGGCACCCCCUACUUUAGAAACAAGAAUUGAAACAUUUUUUCCAUCGAUCGGACAAGCCUAAUACCUGGUAUUGUCCAAGUAUGUAUUUUCUUUGUGGUCCUUUCUUUCCUUCUUUUGUUUCCCUCAAGCACUUUUUCUCUCUUUUCUUCUUUCCUUCCUUCCUUCCUUCCUUCCUUCCUUCCUUCCUGACUUUCUUUCACUUUCUUUCUUUCUUUCUUUCUUUCUUUCGCUUCCCUUUUUAUUUCCUUUCCUCCCUUUCAUCAUCCCUUUAUCCAUUUCUUUCUCUUCCUUGUCUCCUUUUUCUUCUUACCCCCAUUCAUCCUUUCCUUUCCUUUUCUUUUCUUUUCUUUUCUUUCUUCCCUCCCUUCCUCCCCUCUCCUUCCUCCCCCCCUUCCCUUUUAUGUCAUCUAACAACAACCAAUCCAUAUCACUCUCUUUCUUCCCCAGGCACAUGACAGAGAUCCACUUCACUUAGCAACAGCCAAGCUGCUUUGUUCCUAUUAUUUCCACCAGCACUGGGUCUGAAAGUAGUAGUGUUUUUUCAGUUCAAAUCCCACAGUUAGUUUUAGUUAUAUAAUGAAGGGUGCCAAAUUUCAUCAAGAGCCAUCAAGCCAUGUAGAAGUCUUUGUGGUACAAACAAAUAAAGAAACAUACAUUCUUGGAUUUUUAUAUAGAGAGAAAAUUGGUCAAUUCCAUUAAUAGUAUAAUUGCAACUUAAUAAUUACUUUUAUAGUUAUGGAUUAGAACCUCAUUUAAUGGUGAGUGGAGUAACAAAUGAUUCAAAUACUAAUUGAGAGUGCUAUGAUCCCCUAAGUAGAUUGUCUCCAUCUUAACACUCCCAAGGGGUGUGUAUCCCUGUUGGUGCAUCUAGAUCUCUCAACAGUGUUGUAACAUCAACCAUAUUAUUCUUUUGGAAUGCCUAGCGGGGCUGGGAAUUAGAGUCACUGUGUUGCAACGUUUCCAGUUGUAAAUCUCAGACAGGUAACCAGAUGGUGGUGCUUGGGGAUAUCUACUCCUUUAAACAGGAGCUGUUAUAUCACAUCCCACAGGGUGCAGUUCUAUCGCCAAUGCUUUUUGACAUUUGCAUGAAACCUGAUCAUUCUGAGACAUGGGGUAGAAUGUUAUUAGUAUGCUGAUGACACUCAAAUAUAUUUCUUCAAAAACAACCUCAGCUAAGGAUAGAGUGUCUCCUCUGAAUGAAUGCCUAGUGGAAGUAAUGGGCUAGACGAGAAAACAAACAAACAAACAAAUUGAAGCUGAAUCCAGACAGACAGAGGUGCUUGCCACCAAGGGUCCUAACCUAGGUAUUGAAAUGUGUCAACCAGUUCUGGAUGGGGUUACACUCCUCCUGAAAGACUGUGUUUGCAGCUUCGGAGUGCUCCUAGAUCCAUCUCGCCAUGUCAGCCCAGGUAGAUGCGACAGUCAAGAUUGAUCUCUUCCAGUAGGCCUUUGAAUUAUUAGUUUCGAAUUUGUUGCUAUAUGUUGAUUUUUUGUUUGGUGUAUGUUUUUCACAAAUGUGUGUUUUAUCUAUGUAUUUUAUUGUAUGUAUUUUAUUUUUACAGUAGAUUCUCACUUAUCCAAGCUUCACUUAUCCAAUGUUCUGUAUUAUCCGACACAGUCUGCCUUUUAAUAGUCAUUGUUUUUUGUAGUAAAUGCUGCAAUGUUUUGGUGCUAAAUUCGUAAAUACAGUAAUUACUACAUAACAUUACUGUGUAUUGAACUGCUUUUUCUGUCAAUUUCUUGUAAAACAUGAUGUUUUGGUACUUAAUUUGUAAAAUCAUAAUGUAAUUUUAUGUUUAAUAGGCUUUUUUCUUAAUUCCUCAUUAUCCAAGAUUUUCGCUUAUCCAAUGUUCUGCCAGCCUGUUUAUGUUGGAUAAUAGAGACUCUACUGUAUAUGUUUUUAUUAUGUUGUACCCCUCUUUGAGACAUUAGGAGAGUUAGAUAACAAAUAAAAGUAUUAUUAUUAUUAUUAUUAUUAUUAUUAUUAUUAUUAUUAUUAUUAUUAGUUCAUGCUUAAUCUCAGGCAGGUAUAGUGUGUUGAAGUGAUGACAAAGUGGAAAGAACUAUUGGAAAGAACUGGCCAAUAGUAUGUAACUUUUAGAUUUUUAAGAAAAUUACUAAAAUAUCUAUUUUUGAAAAUGGGGAAGAGAUGGGAUGGAAAACUCUGUUAUGUAACUUGCCCAAGGAUAAGUCAGACCAGUUUUAUGGGGGGGGGGGGGGAGGUUAAACUAAAAUUCCUAGUCUUAUACAUAAGUAUGUACAGUAUCUCCUGUUGGCUUGGAUUGUGAAAAUUGUCAUAUUGCUUUUUGGAGAGGUUUACAUAUAUAAAUGACAUUUGGAUACAUGGUGGUCUACUCAGAAAAUCUUGAUCUUGAAUAAUGUAAGAUACAUGGGACAUUUAAAAAAAUCUUGUAGACUUUUAAAUUCACUUUAAGUACCACCAUAACUUGUGGACUUGUUCCAUAUUUGGAAAUGUUCCUACUCCUUAAGGUCAAUAUAUAGGUCAAUAUAUCCAGUGCUUUCUAUGCUAUCCCACCUUUAAAGUAUGCUUUAAUGUAAAAUAUGUUCAUAUAACUCCUUUCAAUUGUUCAAAGGAUGCUCAAAACAAAAAUGUGAUCAGAGAAAGCUAAUCAAGCCUGGACCCAUCUAUAGCUAGCUACACCUUCUGUGUGGGAAACAAUAGAUUGAAAAGAAGAGUCUCUGCUGCAUGUGGAAAAGCAACAAGGAGGUGUGAGUGCCAUUGAUGAGUAGCCAAUCAGAACUACUACAAACAAGAAGAAGUUGUCAGAAGUCCUGAGAUAAUCUCAAGAUUUGAAGAAGUAAAAAAUGAAGACAAAAGCCUCUUAACCUAUGAAAGCAAAAACAAUUUGAAGAAUGAGCACUUCAGGAGUUGACUGUUGAGGAGAAGGAAAAACUGAGUAAUCUGUACUGUUACUUGACUAUCCACAUGCCCCAUCUACAUUGCCAUGUAAUCCAAUUUCUGAAUACAAAUAGCUGCUUUCAACUAGAUUAUAAAACUGAUAUAAUCCAAUUCAAAACAGUUAAUCUGCAUUCAGAAACUAGAUUAUAUGGCAAUGUAGAUCCCACUUCGGUCACUACUUUUGAUUUUUGUCAAAAUUUUAUAAUGUAGGAAGUGCAUGUGACAUGAUUGCUUAAAAUAAAAAAGGAUUGUCUGCACAAGUCUAGCUCCAAGAUAUUUUGUUGCCCUCGCAAAGCCAAGCUACAUCACUUCUAGGCCCCAUCUACCCUGCCAUAUAAAAUCCAGUUUAUAUGCUUUGAACUGAAUUAUGUGGCAGUGUAGACUAAUAUAAUCCAAUCCAAAGAAGAUAAUCUGGAUUUUAUAUGGCAGUGUAGAUAGGGACCUAGCCAUUCAAGUAAAUUUCAAUGUUACUUUUCUCCCCCUCCCCCCUGCACCGGGGCAGUAAAAAUUCAAUAAUAAUAAAAGAAGUGAUACGCAG